This 336-nucleotide ribosomal RNA is filed under the name uncultured Streptococcus sp. RNAcentral's name for it is "bacterial SSU rRNA". It matches the Rfam family "Bacterial small subunit ribosomal RNA", at positions 1045 to 1382 of the family's 1533-position model. Lineage: Bacteria; Bacillati; Bacillota; Bacilli; Lactobacillales; Streptococcaceae. The record is from RNAcentral.
AUGGUUGUCGUCAGCUCGUGUCGUGAGAUGUUGGUUAAGUCCCGCAACGAGCGCAACCCCUACUUGUUAGUUGCCAUCAUUCAGUUGGGCACUCUAGCGAGACUGCCGGUAAUAAACCGGAGGAAGGUGGGGAUGACGUCAAAUCAUCAUGCCCCUUAUGACCUGGGCUACACACGUGCUACAAUGGUUGGUACAACGAGUUGCGAGUCGGUGACGGCGAGCUAAUCUCUUAAAGCCAAUCUCAGUUCGGAUUGUAGGCUGCAACUCGCCUACAUGAAGUCGGAAUCGCUAGUAAUCGCGGAUCAGCACGCCGCGGUGAAUACGUUCCCGGGCCUU